CAAGUCGAACGCACUCUCGUUUAGAUUGAAGGAGCUUGCUCCUGAUUGAUAAACAUUUGAGUGAGUGGCGGACGGGUGAGUAACACGUGGGUAACCUGCCCUAAAGUGGGGGAUAACAUUUGGAAACAGAUGCUAAUACCGCAUAAAACCUAACACCGCAUGGUGUAGGGUUGAAAGAUGGUUUCGGCUAUCACUUUAGGAUGGACCCGCGGUGCAUUAGUUAGUUGGUGAGGUAAAGGCUCACCAAGACCGUGAUGCACAGCCGACCUGAGAGGGUAAUCGGCCACACUGGGACUGAGACACGGCCCAGACUCCUACGGGAGGCAGCAGUAGGGAAUCUUCCACGAUGGACGAAAGUCUGAUGGAGCAACGCCGCGUGAGUGAAGAAGGUUUUCGGAUCGUAAAACUCCGUUGUUGGAGAAGAAUGUAUCUGAUAGUAACUGAUCAGGUAGUGACGGUAUCCAACCAGAAAGCCACGGCUAACUACGUGCCAGCAGCCGCGGUAAUACGUAGGUGGCAAGCGUUGUCCGGAUUUAUUGGGCGUAAAGCGAGCGCAGGCGGUUUCUUAAGUCUGAUGUGAAAGCCUUCGGCUCAACCGAAGAAGUGCAUCGGAAACUGGGAAACUUGAGUGCAGAAGAGGACAGUGGAACUCCAUGUGUAGCGGUGAAAUGCGUAGAUAUAUGGAAGAACACCAGUGGCGAAGGCGGCUGUCUGGUCUGUAACUGACGCUGAGG
This 734-nucleotide ribosomal RNA is filed under the name uncultured Bacilli bacterium. Its description in RNAcentral is "bacterial SSU rRNA". It matches the Rfam family "Bacterial small subunit ribosomal RNA", at positions 58 to 751 of the family's 1533-position model. Lineage: Bacteria; Bacillati; Bacillota; Bacilli. The record is from RNAcentral.